This 253-nucleotide ribosomal RNA is filed under the name uncultured bacterium. RNAcentral describes it as "partial 16S ribosomal RNA". It matches the Rfam family "Bacterial small subunit ribosomal RNA", at positions 524 to 776 of the family's 1533-position model. The record is from RNAcentral.
UACGGAGGGUGCGAGCGUUGUCCGGAAUCACUGGGCGUAAAGGGCGCGUAGGCGGCUUCUCAAGCGUGUGGUGAAAGUCCGGGGCUCAACCCCGGAUCGGCCGUGCGGACUGGGGAGCUCGAGUUCUGUAGAGGAGAGUGGAAUUCCACGUGUAGCGGUGAAAUGCGUAGAGAUGUGGAGGAACACCAGUGGCGAAGGCGACUCUCUGGGCUGUAACUGACGCUGAGGCGCGAAAGCGUGGGGAGCAAACAGG